Dipodomys ordii (Ord's kangaroo rat) is the source of this 107-nucleotide small nuclear RNA. The record is from Ensembl. NCBI's taxonomy places the organism in Eukaryota, Metazoa, Chordata, Mammalia, Rodentia, Heteromyidae.
GUGUUCGCUUUGGAAGCACAUAUACUAAAAUUGGAACAAUACAGAGAAGAUUAGCAUGGUCCCUGCACAAGGAUGACACAGAAAUUCGUGAAGCAUUCCAUAUUUUU